AACGCCCACCCCCAUUUCUAUCCUCCUUCCGGUUUCCGGCUCCCAGCCGCCAGCGCCAGCUCCCUAUCAAGCCUGAUGGUCCCGCGCGCCUCCCGGCCCCUUGAGUCCAACGACGUCUCCUAGCGACCGGGGCCUGCGGGCCUAUGUGCGUGUGUACGUAAGUGCGUGUCCACGUAACUGCUUGUCUGCGUGCCUACGGGCUUUCGCCCUGGCGUGCUGCGUACCUCCGUGUGCGUACGUAACUACGUGGGUACGAGCCGGCGUAUGCCCCCCGCAAAAAAGGAGCGGCAGCGUCUGUGGCGGGUGCGUCAGGUGAGGGGCCGCCGGCGCCCGGCCGCCUGUCAGCGGUUCCUGGUGUCGGGCGCGGCGAUGGCGGGGACAAGCCCGACGCGGACCGGGCGCUCUGUCCUCUCUCGGCCUGGUGAGGCCCAAGGCGCUCUGGGGAGAUGAAGUUCGGCUGCCUCUCCUUCCGGCAGCCUUAUGCAGGUUUUGUCUUAAACGGGGUCAAGACCCUGGAGACGCGUUGGCGUCCUCUGCUGAGCAGCCACCGGAACCGUACCAUCGCCAUCCACAUUGCUCACAGGGACUGGGAAGACACCGCAUGGAGGGAGCUGCUGGCGGAGAGGCUUGGAAUGACCCCUGCUCAGAUUCAGGCCUUGCUUCUGGAAGGGGAAAAGUAUGGCCGUGGCGUGAUCGCUGGGCUUGUUGACAUUGGGGAAACCGUGCAGUGCCCAGAGGACUUAGCUCCUGAUGAGGUUGUGGCGCUGGAGAAUCAAGCUGUACUGACCAGCCUGAAGCAGAAGUACCUCACCGUGCUUUCAAACCCCAGGUGGUUACUGGAGCCCAUACCCAGGAAAGGCGGAAAGGAUAUCUUCCAGGUAGACAUCCCAGAGCACCUGAUGCCCUUGGGGCAGGACGCCUGGCGAGUGCGGAAGGUUACCGAGAAACCGGCUAAAUCAUGACCCAUCGACUGACCGUCAUGCCGCAGACCUACAAGCCAGGUUCAGUCUGAAUCAGCCCUGCCACUGUGUGCUGUUCGUGGAGACAGGUCUCUCCACUCAGAUGCAGGGGACAGGGCAGCGGGACUUUCCUCCUGAGAUGCCUGUCUGGGCUCGCCGGCAGUCUCCAGGACUUCGACGUUCGGGAUAAAGGGGAAGCGGCCAGUAAAUGUCUUGGUGCCGCCACUACUUGAGUCCUUCUGACUUCCGGGUCGUACAGAGACAUAGGUCUGAAGACGACCGGUUCGUGUUUCCUCCUCUCGUUGUUUUGCUCAGAACUCAUAGGACGUUUGAACAGCAUCCAGGGGACCUUGUGGGAAGGCUGGGAGCGGGCGCUAAAGGGGUGUGCAGGGGUGGCCAGCCACGGGUGCCCCCGUUCACCAUGGCGACAGCAUCAGACUGAGACACAGCAUCCGUCUGUUCUUACAAAUGACUCUUGCUCUGUUGUCAAAGCGUCCCUUGGCCCAUGAAGUAUGCGUGUUCGACACAUCCCACAGCUAGCUACUUCAUGGCCAAAGGAAGGAUCCUAAAUACAGCACCGAUGGGAAAAUGAUUAAGUCGUGUUGUGUAUUCUGUGGGAAAUCUUUUGUUGUCGUUGUGUGCUUUCUUAGCAAAGUUUCUGGUGGUCCUUACCGAUGGGGAAGAUGGGCUGUCCCUCCCCCCAACCCCCAGGCAUUGACUAGAAUGGCCCGUCUCUUCUG
RNAcentral lists this long non-coding RNA (1699 nucleotides) under Felis catus (domestic cat). RNAcentral's name for it is "lncRNA (ENSFCAG00000041507.2)". Lineage: Eukaryota; Metazoa; Chordata; Mammalia; Carnivora; Felidae. The record is from RNAcentral.